CUAAUUUCUUCUUCACUGUAGAAUUGUGUCCCAUUCUCCAUUAGGUGUUUCUACUGGUGCUGCAUCAGGAUCACAUUGAUCCGAUCAUAUAUUUUACUGUUUGUCAAUUUGUAUUGGAUUCUGUGAUCCCUUAGGAGUUUCCCAUUAAUAGCAUUAAAUUCAGCACAAAAUUGCUUGCUUUGAGGUUAGUUUCUAUGCAAAAAAGUGCAUAUUGAUAGACUAUUUUUCUUCUUACCUCAAUUUUACUAUUUUAUUGUUAACAAGAUCAAAAAGUUUCUUAUAUUUAAUUAACGAUUGAUCUAAUAAGCAUCGAUAUUCAUCUUAUGCUAAGCAUCAAUGACAUGCCAUAUUAAUGUAUUGGUAGAUAAAGAUUUGAUGGAUGUUAACAUUUGAAUUAAAUUUAGUAUUCACUAAUGAAUUAAAAUGACAUGUCAUUGGUACUUAGCAUAAGAUGAUCACCGAUACUCAUUAGAUCAAUCCUCAUAUUUAAUUAUUUACUUCUUUUAUAUCCAGGGUGGAUGAGGGGGUUUGGCUCCAGAGGACUUAGAAAUCCACCUACACACAAUUUAAGCUCAAUUAUUUUGAAAUAACUAUUGCUUUUAUUUUCAAGGUCUUACAGUACAAGUCGAAAUCUAGGGUUUCAUUUGGUUGAAAAUCAAUUUUGAGUUGAUAAAUGCUAG
Molecule: long non-coding RNA, 680 nt
Filed under: Olea europaea subsp. europaea
Lineage: Eukaryota; Viridiplantae; Streptophyta; Magnoliopsida; Lamiales; Oleaceae
Source: RNAcentral